This 74-nucleotide transfer RNA is filed under the name Bacillota bacterium. RNAcentral describes it as "tRNA-Gly". It matches the Rfam family "tRNA". Rfam says of the family: Transfer RNA (tRNA) molecules are approximately 80 nucleotides in length. Their secondary structure includes four short double-helical elements and three loops (D, anti-codon, and T loops). The record is from RNAcentral. RNAcentral also lists the same sequence under 4 other names. Lineage: Bacteria; Bacillati; Bacillota.
GCGGGUGUAGUUUAAUGGUAGAGCUUCAGCCUUCCAAGCUGAUAACGUGGGUUCGAUUCCCAUCACCCGCUCCA